UUUCGUCAAUGGGGGGAACCCUGAACGAGCAAUGCCGCGUGAGUGAGGAAGGUCUUCGGAUCGUAAAGCUCUGUUGUAAGAGAAAAACGGCACUCAUAGGGAAUGAUGAGUGAGUGAUGGUAUCUUACCAGAAAGUCACGGCUAACUACGUGCCAGCAGCCGCGGUAAUACGUAGGUGGCGAGCGUUAUCCGGAAUGAUUGGGCGUAAAGGGUGCGUAGGUGGCAGAUCAAGUCUGGAGUAAAAGGUAUGGGCUCAACCCGUACUUGCUCUGGAAACUGAUCAGCUAGAGAACAGAAGAGGACGGCGGAACUCCAUGUGUAGCGGUAAAAUGCGUAGAUAUAUGGAAGAACACCGGUGGCGAAGGCGGCCGUCUGGUCUGGAUUCUGACACUGAAGCACGAAAGCGUGGGGAGCAAAUAGGAUUAGAUACCCUAGUAGUCCACGCCGUAAACGAUGAGAACUAGGUGUUGGGGGAAUAACUCAGUGCCGCAGUUAACGCAAUAAGUUCUCCGCCUGGGGAGUAUGCACGCAAGUGUGAAACUCAAAGGAAUUGACGGGGGCCCGCACAAGCGGUGGAGUAUGUGGUUUAAUUCGAAGCAACGCGAAGAACCUUACCAGGCCUUGACAUCCCUUGCAGAGGUAUAGAGAUAUAUCCGAGGUUAUCAAGGAGACAGGUGGUGCAUGGUUGUCGUCAGCUCGUGUCGUGAGAUGUUGGGUUAAGUCCCGCAACGAGCGCAACCCUUGUGAUAUGUUACUAACAUUGAGUUGAGGACUCAUAUCAGACUGCCGGUGAUAAACCGGAGGAAGGUGGGGAUGACGUCAAAUCAUCAUGCCCCUUAUGGCCUGGGCUACACACGUACUACAAUGGCGUCUACAAAGAGCGGCAAGCCUGUGAAGGCAAGCGAAUCUCAUAAAGGACGUCUCAGUUCGGAUUGAAGUCUGCAACCCGACUUCAUGAAGCUGGAAUCGCUAGUAAUCGCGAAUCAGCAUGUCGCGGUGAAUACGUUCUCGGGCCUUGUACACACCGCCCGUCAAACCAUGGGAGUUGGUAAUGCCCGAAGCCGGUGGCAUAACCCUUCGGGGAGUGAGCCGUCGAAGGCAGGACCGAUGACUGGGGUUAAGUCGUAACAAGGUAUCCCUACGGGAACGUGGGGAUG
This 1157-nucleotide ribosomal RNA is filed under the name human gut metagenome. RNAcentral's name for it is "bacterial SSU rRNA". It matches the Rfam family "Bacterial small subunit ribosomal RNA", at positions 363 to 1520 of the family's 1533-position model. The record is from RNAcentral.